This 2932-nucleotide ribosomal RNA is filed under the name Escherichia coli. RNAcentral describes it as "23S ribosomal RNA". It matches the Rfam family "Bacterial large subunit ribosomal RNA". Lineage: Bacteria; Pseudomonadati; Pseudomonadota; Gammaproteobacteria; Enterobacterales; Enterobacteriaceae. The record is from RNAcentral.
GGGUUGUGAGGUUAAGCGACUAAGCGUACACGGUGGAUGCCCUGGCAGUCAGAGGCGAUGAAGGACGUGCUAAUCUGCGAUAAGCGUCGGUAAGGUGAUAUGAACCGUUAUAACCGGCGAUUUCCGAAUGGGGAAACCCAGUGUGAUUCGUCACACUAUCAUUAACUGAAUCCAUAGGUUAAUGAGGCGAACCGGGGGAACUGAAACAUCUAAGUACCCCGAGGAAAAGAAAUCAACCGAGAUUCCCCCAGUAGCGGCGAGCGAACGGGGAGGAGCCCAGAGCCUGAAUCAGUGUGUGUGUUAGUGGAAGCGUCUGGAAAGGCGCGCGAUACAGGGUGACAGCCCCGUACACAAAAAUGCACAUGCUGUGAGCUCGAUGAGUAGGGCGGGACACGUGGUAUCCUGUCUGAAUAUGGGGGGACCAUCCUCCAAGGCUAAAUACUCCUGACUGACCGAUAGUGAACCAGUACCGUGAGGGAAAGGCGAAAAGAACCCCGGCGAGGGGAGUGAAAAAGAACCUGAAACCGUGUACGUACAAGCAGUGGGAGCACAGAGCAAUCUGUGUGACUGCGUACCUUUUGUAUAAUGGGUCAGCGACUUAUAUUCUGUAGCAAGGUUAACCGAAUAGGGGAGCCGAAGGGAAACCGAGUCUUAACCGGGCGUUAAGUUGCAGGGUAUAGACCCGAAACCCGGUGAUCUAGCCAUGGGCAGGUUGAAGGUUGGGUAACACUAACUGGAGGACCGAACCGACUAAUGUUGAAAAAUUAGCGGAUGACUUGUGGCUGGGGGUGAAAGGCCAAUCAAACCGGGAGAUAGCUGGUUCUCCCCGAAAGCUAUUUAGGUAGCGCCUCGUGAAUUCAUCUCCGGGGGUAGAGCACUGUUUCGGCAAGGGGGUUAUCCCGACUUACCAACCCGAUGCAAACUGCGAAUACCGGAGAAUGUUAUCACGGGAGACACACGGCGGGUGCUAACGUCCGUCGUGAAGAGGGAAACAACCCAGACCGCCAGCUAAGGUCCCAAAGUCAUGGUUAAGUGGGAAACGAUGUGGGAAGGCCCAGACAGCCAGGAUGUUGGCUUAGAAGCAGCCAUCAUUUAAAGAAAGCGUAAUAGCUCACUGGUCGAGUCGGCCUGCGCGGAAGAUGUAACGGGGCUAAACCAUGCACCGAAGCUGCGGCAGCGACACUGUGUGUUGUUGGGUAGGGGAGCGUUCUGUAAGCCUGUGAAGGUGUGCUGUGAGGCAUGCUGGAGGUAUCAGAAGUGCGAAUGCUGACAUAAGUAACGAUAAAGCGGGUGAAAAGCCCGCUCGCCGGAAGACCAAGGGUUCCUGUCCAACGUUAAUCGGGGCAGGGUGAGUCGACCCCUAAGGCGAGGCCGAAAGGCGUAGUCGAUGGGAAACAGGUUAAUAUUCCUGUACUUGGUGUUACUGCGAAGGGGGGACGGAGAAGGCUAUGUUGGCCGGGCGACGGUUGUCCCGGUUUAAGCGUGUAGGCUGGUUUUCCAGGCAAAUCCGGAAAAUCAAGGCUGAGGCGUGAUGACGAGGCACUACGGUGCUGAAGCAACAAAUGCCCUGCUUCCAGGAAAAGCCUCUAAGCAUCAGGUAACAUCAAAUCGUACCCCAAACCGACACAGGUGGUCAGGUAGAGAAUACCAAGGCGCUUGAGAGAACUCGGGUGAAGGAACUAGGCAAAAUGGUGCCGUAACUUCGGGAGAAGGCACGCUGAUAUGUAGGUGAAGUCCCUCGCGGAUGGAGCUGAAAUCAGUCGAAGAUACCAGCUGGCUGCAACUGUUUAUUAAAAACACAGCACUGUGCAAACACGAAAGUGGACGUAUACGGUGUGACGCCUGCCCGGUGCCGGAAGGUUAAUUGAUGGGGUCAGCGCAAGCGAAGCUCUUGAUCGAAGCCCCGGUAAACGGCGGCCGUAACUAUAACGGUCCUAAGGUAGCGAAAUUCCUUGUCGGGUAAGUUCCGACCUGCACGAAUGGCGUAAUGAUGGCCAGGCUGUCUCCACCCGAGACUCAGUGAAAUUGAACUCGCUGUGAAGAUGCAGUGUACCCGCGGCAAGACGGAAAGACCCCGUGAACCUUUACUAUAGCUUGACACUGAACAUUGAGCCUUGAUGUGUAGGAUAGGUGGGAGGCUUUGAAGUGUGGACGCCAGUCUGCAUGGAGCCGACCUUGAAAUACCACCCUUUAAUGUUUGAUGUUCUAACGUGGACCCGUGAUCCGGGUUGCGGACAGUGUCUGGUGGGUAGUUUGACUGGGGCGGUCUCCUCCUAAAGAGUAACGGAGGAGCACGAAGGUUGGCUAAUCCUGGUCGGACAUCAGGAGGUUAGUGCAAUGGCAUAAGCCAGCUUGACUGCGAGCGUGACGGCGCGAGCAGGUGCGAAAGCAGGUCAUAGUGAUCCGGUGGUUCUGAAUGGAAGGGCCAUCGCUCAACGGAUAAAAGGUACUCCGGGGAUAACAGGCUGAUACCGCCCAAGAGUUCAUAUCGACGGCGGUGUUUGGCACCUCGAUGUCGGCUCAUCACAUCCUGGGGCUGAAGUAGGUCCCAAGGGUAUGGCUGUUCGCCAUUUAAAGUGGUACGCGAGCUGGGUUUAGAACGUCGUGAGACAGUUCGGUCCCUAUCUGCCGUGGGCGCUGGAGAACUGAGGGGGGCUGCUCCUAGUACGAGAGGACCGGAGUGGACGCAUCACUGGUGUUCGGGUUGUCAUGCCAAUGGCACUGCCCGGUAGCUAAAUGCGGAAGAGAUAAGUGCUGAAAGCAUCUAAGCACGAAACUUGCCCCGAGAUGAGUUCUCCCUGACCCUUUAAGGGUCCUGAAGGAACGUUGAAGACGACGACGUUGAUAGGCCGGGUGUGUAAGCGCAGCGAUGCGUUGAGCUAACCGGUACUAAUGAACCGUGAGGCUUAACCUUACAACGCCGAAGGUGUUU